CCUACGGGAGGCAGCAGUGAGGAAUAUUGGUCAAUGGACGCGAGUCUGAACCAGCCAAGUAGCGUGAAGGAUGACGGCCCUAUGGGUUGUAAACUUCUUUUAUAAAGGGAUAAACUGAGGCACGUGUGCCUUUUUGCAUGUACUGUAUGAAUAAGGAUCGGCUAACUCCGUGCCAGCAGCCGCGGUAAUACGGAGGAUCCGAGCGUUAUCCGGAUUUAUUGGGUUUAAAGGGAGCGUAGAUGGGUUGUUAAGUCAGUUGUGAAAGUUUGCGGCUCAACCGUAAAAUUGCAAUUGAUACUGGCAGUCUUGAGUACAGUUGAGGUAGGCGGAAUUCGUGGUGUAGCGGUGAAAUGCUUAGAUAUCACGAAGAACCCCGAUUGCGAAGGCAGCUUACUAAACUGUGACUGACAUUGAUGCUCGAAAGUGUGGGUAUCGAACAGGAUUAGAUACCCGUGUAGUC
This 460-nucleotide ribosomal RNA is filed under the name uncultured bacterium. Its description in RNAcentral is "partial 16S ribosomal RNA". It matches the Rfam family "Bacterial small subunit ribosomal RNA", at positions 338 to 795 of the family's 1533-position model. The record is from RNAcentral.